Erinaceus europaeus (western European hedgehog) is the source of this 1224-nucleotide long non-coding RNA. RefSeq lists it as uncharacterized. The transcript is spliced from 5 exons. The record is from RefSeq and is a predicted model, not a curated record. Lineage: Eukaryota; Metazoa; Chordata; Mammalia; Eulipotyphla; Erinaceidae.
CUUGUAACGAAGGAAGAACUGGAAAAGCAAACCUCAUAGUGUCAUUAUUGAAAUGAAUGUGCCUGGCAGACAAACAGCAAAUAUUUGGCAAGCACAGAGGCAAAAGUCGUUAUUGGAAAUGAGUAGAAUUUCCUAUCACAAGUAUCAGGAAGUCUGGGUUCAGAAAACUGCUUCAGCAAGGAUGCUUUUUACUGCAAAGCAAGGGUUCUGUAUCUGCUGUGAUUUCUCUUCUCUUUGCCUCGCCCCCAAAGCAGCACGGCAUCCAGGCUCUCCAAAGUCCAGAUUCAAAUGGAGGAUCUCUUUUUCCACAAGUCUGGAAUAAGAAGGCAGAGGAGACAGAGGAGGACAAGGACUCCCUUCUUUCCAAGAAUUGGCAAUGGACUGUGAUCCGAUGGUCAGUCUAUCCUCCCAGCUCCUUCACAGGACUUAUACAUCAUUUCCAGCAAUGAAGGAGGAGUUACAUCAUCGUUGUCCUCAUCUGACUUUGAGGAGUAUGGACCCAGGAUCAUUACGGGGUGCAGAAGGUGGAAGAUCUAGCUUCUGUAAUUGCUUCUGAAUAAGGGCAUUGGCAGGUUGAUCCAUACCUCUCCAUACCGAUCCACAGCCUCUCUUUCCCUGGUGGGGCAGGACUCUGGGGAAACAGGGCUCCAAGACACAUUGGUCGGGUCACCUGCUCAGGGAAGUCCCGUUGACAUCACGUUGGCAUCAGGAACCUGGUGGCUGAAAAAGAAUUAAGAUAUAAAGCAGAACAGACUGUUGACUGAGCAUGAACCUGAAGGCAAGAUUAUUGCAGAGGAAGAUUUGGUGGUCUCUGUUUUGGAGAAAUCUAGUCUACAGGGAGGGUCUACAGGAAGGGGGAUCCCUGGCCGCUGCUCCUUUUGUGUUCGUUCAUCAAGGGAGAAGUGCAUCUUCAGCACCAACAGUAUCUCCCCCGCCCGGUCCCCAAAUGGCCAAGGAUACAUCCCUCCUGGAGGAUGUGGACACUGUGACCUGCACGUGAGAAAGAGGGGGACGUGCCAGGAAGACUGGCCAAGUAAGUGAAUUCCUCAGACACUUAAAAGAUGUCUUUUGCUUGGAUGGGGAUGGGUGGUGGUGGAGAACACAGGUCCAAGAAGAAUGACAGCGGACCUAGUGGCAAAUGUUAUGCUUGUAAAAAUGUUUGUAUUUACUAUCGAAUGUAAAACAUUAAUUCCCCAAUAAAGAAAAUAACAAGUAAGUAAAUAA